This 387-nucleotide ribosomal RNA is filed under the name uncultured eukaryote. RNAcentral describes it as "SSU rRNA". It matches the Rfam family "Eukaryotic small subunit ribosomal RNA", at positions 587 to 972 of the family's 1831-position model. The record is from RNAcentral.
AGCUCCAAUAGCGAAUAUUAAAAUUGUUGCAGUUAAAAAGCUCGUAGUUGGAUCCAAGGUUAGGCGCAUCUGUCUGUUCUUAGUAGCAUGACUGUUUGCGUCUGCCUUUAUUAGUUGACUGAACAUUAUGGUGGUCUUAAUUGAUUGCUGUAAUGUGCUCAACACGUUUACCUUGAAAAAAUCAGAGCGAUUAAAGCAGGCCUUUGUGCUUGUAUGUUCUUGCAAGGAAUAAUAGAAUAGGACUUCGGUUCUAUUUUGUUGGUUUUGAGAAUUGAAGUAAUGAAUAAUAGAGACAGUCGGGGGCAUUUGUAUGGUGGCGUUAGAGGUGAAAUUCUGAGAUCGUCGCCAGACAAACUACUGCGAAAGCAUUUGCCAAGGAUGUCUUCA